Molecule: non-coding RNA, 169 nt
Filed under: uncultured Ruminococcus sp.
Lineage: Bacteria; Bacillati; Bacillota; Clostridia; Eubacteriales; Oscillospiraceae
Description: malK-I RNA
Rfam family: malK-I RNA
Source: RNAcentral
CGCCGUUUCACUCCACUGUAUGAGCGGCGUACAUCCAGAAGGAGGUCAUGUCAACCCCGUUUAGACUCACGGUGCGGCAGCGUGGAGACCUGUCGUAAUGCGGAGUGAUUCAGCGCAAUUGCCCGCGAGGCAGUUUGGCGGAGGCCAUUCUGUCAGAGUCUGGCUUAUG